This 497-nucleotide ribosomal RNA is filed under the name uncultured bacterium. RNAcentral's name for it is "partial 16S ribosomal RNA". It matches the Rfam family "Bacterial small subunit ribosomal RNA", at positions 28 to 507 of the family's 1533-position model. The record is from RNAcentral.
GAUGAACGCUGGCGGCGUGCCUAAUACAUGCAAGUCGAGCGAACGGACGAGAAGCUUGCUUUUCUGAUGUUAGCGGCGGACGGGUGAGUAACACGUGGAUAACCUACCUAUAAGACUGGGAUAACUUCGGGAAACCGGAGCUAAUACCGGAUAAUAUUUUGAACCGCAUGGUUCAAAAGUGAAAGACGGUCUUGCUGUCACUUAUAGAUGGAUUCGCGCUGCAUUAGCUAGUUGGUAAGGUAACGGCUUACCAAGGCAACGAUGCAUAGCCGACCUCAGAGGGUGAUCGGCCACACUGGAACUGAGACACGGUCCAGACUCCUACGGGAGGCAGCAGUAGGGAAUCUUCCGCAAUGGGCGAAAGCCUGACGGAGCAACGCCGCGUGAGUGAUGAAGGUCUUCGGAUCGUAAAACUCUGUUAUUAGGGAAGAACAUAUGUGUAAGUAACUGUGCACAUCUUGACGGUACCUAAUCAGAAAGCCACGGCUAACUACGUG